Molecule: non-coding RNA, 1816 nt
Organism: Malus domestica (apple)
Lineage: Eukaryota; Viridiplantae; Streptophyta; Magnoliopsida; Rosales; Rosaceae
Source: RefSeq, a predicted model, not a curated record
CGGCCCACAUCAUAUUGUUUGGAGUCCAAGAACUUUGUCAUGUCAGAGAGUCUGCCAGUUUGAUAUCCCAAUUCCCAAGCCGGCAAAAUCCUUUGAGCAGACAAGAAGAGAAUUACGAACAUCCCAAAGAAAACACAAGCUUUCCACUCUGAUAAUAUUGCCAGCAAUUUAUUUCAAUGAAUCGGAGGAUAUUGAGUCUGAAUCCGAUCUUGGGUGAGUGAAGGAUGUCCCAAGCUCAAGUCUCCUACAGUUGUGGUUCUUGUGGAUACCCUUUGAACUUGUCGUCUUCAAAUCGAUUGACUGCUGAGUCUGGCAUAGGCUCCAACUAUAGAAAGUCCAUCAAGAAAGGUCUUAUUUCAUUCCUUACAGUUGAUCUUAGUCGGUUCACACAGGUUGAUGAGGUAAACUGUUUUCCAGUCUCUUGGGGUCGUUAUCGUUCAAAGACUAAACUUCUCUGCCGCAAAUGUGGGGUUCAUAUCGGUUAUGGAUAUGGAGACUCUUCUGUUCUUUGUGGUUUUGACUCUCCCAACUCAUCAUCUACUUCAUCUUAUAGAAAGUUCAACAUAAAAAUACGAGCUCUACAACCUUCGGAACAGUGCUAACAUGAAACCUACUUGUAGCUCUAGUAGUAAUUCUCUUACCACCAUCAUGGACUUGGCUGAUGAUUGUCUCAUCUUUAUUUUCCAAUGCCUUGUUUCUGGCUCUGACCGUGAAUCCUUUGGCUUGACUUGUCAUCGAUGUCUUCGUGUUCAAAAUCUUAGUCGUCGAUCCUUACAGUUUCAAUGUUCAUUCAAACAACUUGACAUUUCUUCAUUAUCACUUUCAGCAUUUACACUUGUUGUCCCUAUCUGGGUGCACAGAACUACCAGAUUCAGGCUUGUCCCACUUGGUAAUCUGGAGUGUUGUGUUGUUUAGGUAUUACUGAUCAUGGGUUGUAUAUGGCAGCUACUGGUUGCCCCUCGUUGCAAGUUAUCAGCCUUUACCGUUGCCAAAUUACUGAUUUUGGGUUAGGAAAUUUGGAUAAGUCUUGCUCAGUUUUAAAGGAUGUGAAUCUAUUGUACUGCUAUUUUAUUUCUGACUGUGGGCUAAAAGCUCUUUCACAAGGUUGUCGUCAACUUCAAGCGGUUAAGAUAUCACAUUGCAAGGGCAUAACUGGUGUUGGCUUUAAAGGUUCCUCAUCAACUUUAGCUUAUGUAGGAGCCAAAUCAUGUAAGCUUGAGCCAGAAUGUCUUUUGGGAAUUGUUAGUGGGGGCGGGAUUGAAUGUAUCUUGCAAAAUUGUAGAAAUGGCUUGGCAGCGAUUGGGAGAGGAUUUGCCUUCCGCCUUAAAAUUCUUAACCUUCGGCUUUGUAGAACUUUUGGUGACAUGUCGAUUGUAGCAAUUGCAGAAGGUUGUCCACUACUCCAUUGUGUCAUGAGGUCAAAAUUGUGGGAUGGUCUUCUAUCGGGAUGAGUUGUCACAAGUUGGAGAAGCUUCAUGUCAACCGGUGUCGGAAUCUAUGUGAUCAGGGUUUAGUGGCUUUGCGGAAUGGUUGCAAACAACUCUCCGUUUUGUACAUGAACGGUUGUCCUAAGAUUACUUCAACAGCAAUGGAGUUGUUCAAUGUUAUAGGAGUGAGGUUACCAUUAAGAAUGAAGAGAAGUGUAUAGGUCCCAUCUGGGAGUUGAGAUGAUAGUUGAUGAAAAAUAAUUUGACUUAUUUGAUAUGAAAUUUUCUAUUAUUUUCUGAAGAUUUAACUUGCUUCAGCAUGUGUACUUUUAACUGGGGAAAGACUUGUGAAUUUCUAAUUGAUAAUUUGUGAAAUUAAUUUUACAAUA